Molecule: ribosomal RNA, 468 nt
Filed under: uncultured bacterium
Lineage: Bacteria
Description: bacterial SSU rRNA
Rfam family: Bacterial small subunit ribosomal RNA
Source: RNAcentral
ACGACGCUGGCGGCGUGCUUCAUACAUGCAAGUCGAACGAGAAGCUGACUUCGGUCAGUGGAAAGUGGCGGACGGGUGAGUAAUGUGUAGAGAAUCUGCCCUAGAGAGAGGGACAACAGUUGGAAACGACUGCUAAUACCUCAUAUGCGCGUAGCUGAGAUGCUAUUCGUGAAAACUCCGGUGCUCUGGGAUGAGUCUGCAUCUGAUUAGCUAGUUGGCGGUGUAAUGGACCACCAAGGCGACGAUCAGUAGCUGGUUUGAGAGGAUGAUCAGCCACAAUGGGACUGAGACACGGCCCAUACUCCUACGGGAGGCAGCAGUAGGGAAUUUUGCGCAAUGGGGGGAACCCUGACCCAGCAACGCCGCGUGAGGGAAGAAGGUUUUCGGAUCGUAAACCUCUGUCCUUGGUGAAGAGGAAGAGACGGUAGCCAAGGAGGAAGCCCCGGCUAACUACGUGCCAGCAGCUGC